Molecule: ribosomal RNA, 433 nt
Filed under: uncultured bacterium
Lineage: Bacteria
Description: partial 16S ribosomal RNA
Rfam family: Bacterial small subunit ribosomal RNA
Source: RNAcentral
AACGAACGCUGGCGGCAGGCCUAACACAUGCAAGUCGAGCGGACCUUUCGGGGUCAGCGGCGGACGGGUGAGUAACGCGUGGGAAUAUGCCCUUCUCUACGGAAUAGUCCUGGGAAACUGGGGGUAAUACCGUAUACGCCCUUUGGGGGAAAGAUUUAUCGGGGAAGGAUUAGCCCGCGUUGGAUUAGGUAGUUGGUGGGGUAAUGGCCUACCAAGCCGACGAUCCAUAGCUGGUUUGAGAGGAUGAUCAGCCACACUGGGACUGAGACACGGCCCAGACUCCUACGGGAGGCAGCAGUGGGGAAUCUUAGACAAUGGGGGCAACCCUGAUCUAGCCAUGCCGCGUGAGUGAUGAAGGCCUUAGGGUUGUAAAGCUCUUUCAGCUGGGAAGAUAAUGACGGUACCAGCAGAAGAAGCCCCGACUAACUCCGUG